Molecule: ribosomal RNA, 400 nt
Filed under: uncultured bacterium
Lineage: Bacteria
Description: bacterial SSU rRNA
Rfam family: Bacterial small subunit ribosomal RNA
Source: RNAcentral
UGGGGAAUAUUGGACAAUGGGGGAAACCCUGAUCCAGCAAUGCCGCGUGAGUGAUGAAGGCCUUAGGGUUGUAAAGCUCUUUUAAUAGGGAAGAUAAUGACGGUACCUAUUGAAUAAGAACCGGCUAACUCUGUGCCAGCAGCCGCGGUAAUACAGAGGGUUCUAGCGUUGUUCGGAAUUACUGGGCGUAAAGGGCGCGUAGGCGGUUUGCUAAGUCAGACGUGAAAGCCCCGGGCUUAACCUGGGAAUGGCGUUUGAUACUGGCAGUCUAGAAGACGGAAGAGGAAAGUAGAAUUCCUGGUGUAGAAGUGAAAUUCGUAGAUAUCAGGAGGAAUACCAAAGGCGAAGGCAUCUUUCUGGUCCGUUCUUGACGCUGAGGCGCGAAAGCGUGGGGAGCAAA